AUGUCUAUAAGUUCAUGGCAAGCAUCAUCGUCUUCUAAAUCUUCUUGUUCAUCCUUCAGAUUCCUGGAAGUUGUACUUCAGCUCCUGGGGAGACAGUUGUCAUCUUGGGAAGCAAAGACGGCUGUGAUGCAGUUUGUUGAUAUGAGGAAAACAGGAAGCGUCAGGACAAGCAUGCCCAUGAGAACUCUAAACUGUUCAGGUCACUUUACAUUGGUGAAACUGACAAUUGAAACUGCUAUAGUUGAUGGGCGAAAUUUCUUCUAGACUUUUCAUCAUCCCAGUUUCAUCCUAGUUGAAAAUAUUUCAAUGCCAUAAGAAAUCUGUAGAUUUGCACUUAGCUGCAGAUGGACAUUUCUUUGAUAGUUUCUGUGAUGGAGAGAACUGUGUUAUAGCCUGGUCCAAGGACAUUCCCAUCUAAUGCGCAUCAACCACAGUGUGGGUGAGGAAGGUUCCAAAGAGAAGGAACAACCGUCAAGUUUGCAGACACCCUGAAACAUGGAAGCAAUGAAGCUUUAAAAGCACAGCCUUGGAGAUACUCCAUGAGUCUACUCUGCUUUCAGGCGAACUAGCAC
Molecule: long non-coding RNA, 572 nt
Filed under: Castor canadensis (American beaver)
Lineage: Eukaryota; Metazoa; Chordata; Mammalia; Rodentia; Castoridae
Description: lncRNA (ENSCCNG00000029969.1)
Source: RNAcentral